UGGGGGAUAUUGCACAAUGGGGGGAACCCUGAUGCAGCGACGCCGCGUGGGUGAAGAAGCGCCCCGGCGCGUAAAGCCCUGUCAGCAGGGAAGAAGGAGGACGGUACCUGACCAAGAAGCCCCGGCUAACUACGUGCCAGCAGCCGCGGUAAUACGUAGGGGGCGAGCGUUAUCCGGAUUUACUGGGUGUAAAGGGGGCGCAGACGGCGCCGCAAGCCAGGAGUGAAAGCCCGGGGCCCAACCCCGGGACUGCUCUUGGAACUGCGGGGCUGGAGUGCAGGAGGGGCAGGCGGAAUUCCUGGUGUAGCGGUGAAAUGCGUAGAUAUCAGGAGGAACACCGGUGGCGAAGGCGGCCUGCUGGACUGCAACUGACGUUGAGGCCCGAAAGCGUGGGGAGCAAACAGG
This 405-nucleotide ribosomal RNA is filed under the name uncultured bacterium. Its description in RNAcentral is "bacterial SSU rRNA". It matches the Rfam family "Bacterial small subunit ribosomal RNA", at positions 355 to 776 of the family's 1533-position model. The record is from RNAcentral.